This 824-nucleotide long non-coding RNA is filed under the name Populus trichocarpa (black cottonwood). RNAcentral describes it as "long non-coding RNA (PTRI_LNC003315)". Lineage: Eukaryota; Viridiplantae; Streptophyta; Magnoliopsida; Malpighiales; Salicaceae. The record is from RNAcentral.
AUUAAAGGGUAUGAGUGGUGGUCUGAGGCUCUUCAUGGAGUUUCCAAUGUGGGUCCAGGGACCAAGUUUGGUGGAGCCUUCCCUGUGGCCACUAGCUUCCCUCAAGUCAUCACUACCGCUGCUUCUUUCAAUGCAACUUUGUGGGAGGCUAUUGGACAGGUGAGAUUUUUUAACCUUGAUUAGAUUUUAUUAAAUCAUUAAUUAGACUAUAUAUAUAUCAAAGUAAGACGGAUACUUAAAGCCAUAACAGGGAUUCUAUCCAUAGAGAACCUUCUGUUUCUUUUUGUUUACCUUGUACAUAUGAGCUGAAUAGAACAGUCAGUUUUGUUCCAUAUGGAAAGGCAGCCCUUAUAGCAUGCAAACCUCACCAAGAUUUGCAACCAUGCAUAGCAUGUGUCAGCUCUGCUAUACAAUUUGCUCGGGAGCCCAUACAAAUAAUGCAGGGACGCGUCUUACAUGAACCAAUGUAAACAAACUGCUUUUAUAUGUGUCUCUCUCUGAGUGUGUGUGUGUUAGUUGAAAAAAAAUAAAAACUCUCCACAAAAUUCAAUGAUGUAGCCACCUCUCUUUAUUGCAUCUCGUCAAUAGCUACUGCGCCGCAUUAAAGAUUAACAAAAGCAAAGAUACUUUUUUUCCUUUUCUCUUUCUUUUUUUAUCGAACAAAAACAAAGAUAUAUAAUAUUACUGUCUUUUAAAAAAGUAGUAACAAAAAAUUAUUAAUUUUAAUUAUCUUCAUUUGUGGAUUCAUUCUUUACCAAAUGCGUAUAAUGUCAGGCAAGUUGCCCCCUUUUUUUUUGAAGAAAAAAACCCGGCCAAUAUAGUAC